CCUACGGGAGGCUGCAGUGGGGAAUAUUGGACAAUGGGGGCAACCCUGAUCCAGCCAUGCCGCGUGUGUGAAGAAGGCCCUCGGGUUGUAAAGCACUUUCAGUGAGGAAGAACGCCUGGUGGUGAAUACCCAUCAGGAAAGACAUCACUCACAGAAGAAGCACCGGCUAACUCCGUGCCAGCAGCCGCGGUAAUACGGAGGGUGCGAGCGUUAAUCGGAAUUACUGGGCGUAAAGCGCGCGUAGGUGGCUUGAUAAGCCGGUUGUGAAAGCCCCGGGCUCAACCUGGGAACGGCAUCCGGAACUGUCAAGCUAGAGUGCAGGAGAGGAAGGUAGAAUUCCCGGUGUAGCGGUGAAAUGCGUAGAGAUCGGGAGGAAUACCAGUGGCGAAGGCGGCCUUCUGGACUGACACUGACACUGAGGUGCGAAAGCGUGGGUAGCAAACAGGAUUAGAUACCCGUGUAGUC
RNAcentral lists this ribosomal RNA (465 nucleotides) under Vreelandella stevensii. RNAcentral describes it as "partial 16S ribosomal RNA". It matches the Rfam family "Bacterial small subunit ribosomal RNA", at positions 338 to 795 of the family's 1533-position model. The record is from RNAcentral. Lineage: Bacteria; Pseudomonadati; Pseudomonadota; Gammaproteobacteria; Oceanospirillales; Halomonadaceae.